RNAcentral lists this ribosomal RNA (784 nucleotides) under uncultured bacterium. RNAcentral's name for it is "bacterial SSU rRNA". It matches the Rfam family "Bacterial small subunit ribosomal RNA", at positions 8 to 796 of the family's 1533-position model. The record is from RNAcentral.
AGAGUUUGAUCAUGGCUCAGAACGAACGCUGGCGGCGUGCUUAACACAUGCAAGUCGAGUGCGCGGUUGUAGCAAUACAACUGGCGCACGGCGCACGGGUGCGUAACACGUGGGCAAUCUGCCCUUCGAUGGGGAAUAACUCCGCGAAAGCGGAGCUAAUUCCGCAUAACAUUCCUUGGACCUCGGUUCGAGGACUCAAAGCCGUAAGGCGUCGAAGGAGGAGCCCGCGCACGAUUAGCUAGUUGGUAGGGUAACGGCCUACCAAGGCUUUGAUCGUUAGCUGGUCUGAGAGGAUGGCCAGCCACACUGGAACUGAGACACGGUCCAGACUCCUACGGGAGGCAGCAGUGGGGAAUCUUGCGCAAUGGGCGAAAGCCUGACGCAGCGACGCCGCGUGGGGGAUGAAGCUUCUCGGAGUGUAAACCCCUUUCGACCGGGACGAAUGCCCGCAAGGGAGUGACGGUACCGGUAGAAGAAGCCCCGGCUAACUACGUGCCAGCAGCCGCGGUAAGACGUAGGGGGCCAGCGUUGUUCGGAAUUACUGGGUGUAAAGGGUUCGUAGGCGGUGUGGCAAGUCGGGAGUGAAAUUUCUGGGCUUAACUCAGAACCUGCUUCCGAAACUGCUGUGCUCGAGUGUGGGAGAGGCGCGUGGAAUUGCAGGUGUAGCGGUGAAAUGCGUAGAUAUCUGCAGGAACACCCGUGGCGAAAGCGGCGCGCUGGACCACUACUGACGCUGAGGAACGAAAGCUAGGGGAGCAAACAGGAUUAGAUACCCUAGUAGUCC